GCCCCUUGUCUAUGUUGCUGCAGGUUGCAACGAAGUUUCCCUUUGGAAUGCAGAGGAUGGAAUUUGCCACCAGGUCUUGAAGGUAGCAAACUACGACAGCGAUGCUGAAAUGUCAGACAUUCUUUGGGCCUUGGGCAAACCACUAAGUCGGGGAAAUUCUAAACCGGACGUGAGGCGUAAUGUCAACCCCAAGUACAGAGUUAAUGAAUUGCAAGAACCCCACCACGUCUUCCUGGUAUUCGUUCACUGAUUCCCUUACCUGGGGGUGAUUUGUUAACUGGGGGUACUGACUUGAAGAUUCGUCGAUGGGAUCAUUGCAGUCCUGAUCGAAGUUACUCUGUAUGUGGGCCAAAUGGAAAUGAAGUUGUGAAUGAUGAAUUCUUUAAAACAAGUUCUAAUUUUGGGGCGCAAAUUGUACAGGAGAAAAAGAGACGACUUCCUUCAGCAGGUAAGAACUCAGCCAAGACAGUUCUGACUGCUGCUGCUACUGAUACUGCUGGCUGUCAUCGUGAUUCCAUUCUCUCAUUGGCUUCUGUCAAACUCAAUCAAAGACUCUUAAUAUCAAGCAGUAGAGAUGGAGCUAUCAAGGUCUGGAAGUGAAUAAACAAACUGUAAAAGUCUUAUUUGACCUCGUGUAUAUAAUUUAGUCAGUUGAAGUUGUACAUAUAUAUAUCUCGCCUCUAAUAAAGCUUUUUGAUUAGGCACAAAUAUACCUCAUAUCAACUAUAAGGGCAUAUUUUAUUUAGCUCAUUUUGUACAGUUUGGAAGGAUAUAGGUUUUUACAUUUUUUAUUAUUUAUAAAAAUCCUCUCGUUAUAUUGCUUCA
Molecule: long non-coding RNA, 825 nt
Organism: Cannabis sativa
Lineage: Eukaryota; Viridiplantae; Streptophyta; Magnoliopsida; Rosales; Cannabaceae
Exons: 4
Source: RefSeq, a predicted model, not a curated record